GAUGAACGCUGGCGGCGUGCCUAAUACAUGCAAGUCGAGCGAACAGACGAGGAGCUUGCUCCUCUGACGUUAGCGGCGGACGGGUGAGUAACACGUGGAUAACCUUCCUAUAAGACUGGGAUAACUUCGGGAAACCGGAGCUAAUACCGGAUAAUAUAUUGAACCGCAUGGUUCAAUAGUGAAAGACGGUUUUGCUGUCACUUAUAGAUGGAUCCGCGCCGCAUUAGCUAGUUGGUAAGGUAACGGCUUACCAAGGCAACGAUGCGUAGCCGACCUGAGAGGGUGAUCAGCCACACUGGAACUGAGACACGGUCCAGACUCCUACGGGAGGCAGCAGUAGGGAAUCUUCCGCAAUGGGCGAAAGCCUGACGGAGCAACGCCGCGUGGGUGAUGAAGGUCUUCGGAUCGUAAAACUCUGUUAUUAGGGAAGAACAAAUGUGUAAGUAACUAUGCACGUCUUGACGGUACCUAAACAGAAAGCCACGGCUAACUACGUG
This 497-nucleotide ribosomal RNA is filed under the name uncultured bacterium. RNAcentral describes it as "partial 16S ribosomal RNA". It matches the Rfam family "Bacterial small subunit ribosomal RNA", at positions 28 to 507 of the family's 1533-position model. The record is from RNAcentral.